Acinonyx jubatus (cheetah) is the source of this 3229-nucleotide long non-coding RNA. RefSeq lists it as uncharacterized. The record is from RefSeq and is a predicted model, not a curated record. The transcript is spliced from 4 exons. Lineage: Eukaryota; Metazoa; Chordata; Mammalia; Carnivora; Felidae.
UCAGCGGAGCCGGGGGUAGCACCCGCGCCCCGCCUACCCCGGCCCCCCGAUCCUGGAGCCGCUGACCCGCCGAGUGACCUCGGGCCAGUCACGGCACCUCUCCGCGCCUCGCCUUCCCGCUCUGCAAAGUGGGAGCAAUGUUAUUUGGCCGACUCAAUGGGACUGCUUGUAAAGCUCUCGGCACGGGGCCUGGCAUCCAGUAGGCGCUCCAGAACAGCGGCUAUUUUUAUUAUUAAUUAAGGAGUAACGAAGGUGACAGCUGUGUAAACUGUAAAGCGCUGCGCCUGAACGAACGGGUAUUAUUAGCACCCGCCCCCGCCCCAGCUACUCCCUCCAAGACAACAAACUUGAGCCUUUGUGGGCGGGACGCCGAACCGGGAGCUCCCCUUAUCUGAAAAAAAGGAGACAUGGAGUCUCAAUAGAGUUGAAACCAACUGGCAUCCGCUUGUAUAGAGUGAGUGAAUGUGCAGCAAUCGUGCCCCUGGGUCACAGCCGUAAGAGCCCUUGUCCUCUACUCUGACGCUUCAUGGACUGGCACGUGAUGAAGAUCCUGGGAUGCGUCCACCUCUUGGUAUUAUGAAGAAUGCUAUUACGAACAUGGAUGCACAAAUAUCUUUUGAGGCUCUUGCUUUCAAUUCUUUCAUAUAUCCAGAUAUGGAUGAGCUGGAUCAUAUGGUUCAGCCUUUUUUGUGUCUAUGAAUCUGAAGCGUGAGUCAUGCAAAGAGUGGAUAGUUGGGGUGCCUGGGUGGCUCAGUCCAUUAAGCAUCCGACUUUAGGUCAGGUCAUGAUCUCACAGUUUGUGAGUUCAAGCUGUCUGCUGUCAGCACAGAGCCUGCUUUGGAUUCUCUGUCUCUCUCUCUCUCUCUCUCUCUGCCCCUCUCAUGAGCUCUUUCUCUCUCAAAAAUAAAUAAACAUUAAAAAAAAGAGUGUAUAGUUGGACAAUGAUUUUUUUAUCUGCCAAUCUUUGCAUUUUUAUUGGAGAAUUCAAUCUAUUUAUAUAUAAUGUAAUUACUAAUAACAGGUUUUACACCUGCAAUUUUGUUUUAUAUAUGUAUUUUGGUUUUUUUGUUCCUCUAUUUCUCCUUUACUCCCUUCUUUUGUGUUUGAUAGAUAUUUUUAAAUGUACCCUUUUAAUUACUUUGUUGUUUCUUUUAUUAUAUUUUUAUAAUUUUUUCUUAAUAGUUGCUCUGGGGUUGCAAUUAACAUCAUAAUUUAUAAGAAUCUAGUUCAGAUUAAUACUGAGUUUCAAUAAUGUUCAAAAUUUUACUCCAAUAUAGUUUCAUUCUUUCUCAUACUCCUUUGCUGUAUUAUUAUAUAAAUUACAUUUUUAUACACUAUGACCAUAUCAGUACCAUUUUAGGGGCGCCUGGAUGACUCAGUUGGUUGAGCAUCAGACUUCACCUCAAGUCAUGAUCUCAUGGUUUGUGAGUUUGAAUCCCGCAUCUGGCUGUCAGCGCAGAGCCCACUUCAGAUCCUCUGUCCCCGUCUUUCUCUGCCUCUCCCCUACUUGUGCGCUCUCUCGCUCUCUCUCUGAAUAAAAAAAAAAAAUACCAUUUUAUAGUUAUUGCUUCAUGAAGCUAUCUUUUCCCAUUAGAUAGGAUAAGAAAAGAGUUACAACAUAAAAACAUUUAUACCGUAUUUUCUAUUUCUUUAUGUAGUAACUUUUACUGGUGCUCUUUAUUUCUUCAUGUGGAUUCAACUCACUGUCUGGUGUUCUUUCAUUUCAGCCUAAAGGGCAAUCAUUAGUAUUUCUUGUAGGGAAAGUCUGCUAGUGACAAAUUCUCUCAACUUUGGUUUAUUUGUGUAUGUCUUCAUUUCUCCUUUGAAGAAUCAUUUUUUUGGUUAUAAAAUUCUGGGCUGACAGUCUUUUUCUUUCAUUACUUUGAAUAUUUCAUCCCAUUGCCUCCUGGACUUCAUAGUUUCUAAAUGAGACAUUAACGGUUGAUCUUAUUGAGGAUCCUUUAUAAAUGAUGAGUCGGUUUUCUAUUGUUGCUUUCAAGAUUCUCUCUUUAUAGUCCAAUAGUUUGACUCUGAUGUGUUCAAGUGUGAAUUUCUUUGAGUUUCUCUUACUUGGAGGUCACUGAACUUAGACAUGUAGAUUAAUUUUUUUAUUUAAAAUGUGAGUGGUUUUGGUCUUGAUUUCUCCAAUUAUUUAUGCUCUUAUUCUCUUUCUACUCCUUCUAGGACUCCCAUUGUGCAUAUUCUGGUAUGCUUGAUGGUAUUCCCACAUGUCCCUGUGUUCUGUUCAUUCUUCUUCAUCCUGUUUGUUUUUAAGAAUGGGCAAUUUCUGGGGUGCCUGGGUACCUCAGUCCAUUAAGUGUCUGACUCUUGAUUUUGGUUCAGGUCAUGAUCUCACUGUUCGUGGGUUCAAGCCCCACAUCAGGCUCUGUGCUGACAGUAUGGAACCUGCUUAGGAUUCUCUCCCUCCCUCUCUGUCCUUUCCCCACUCAUGUGCUCAUGCACGCUCUCUCUCUCUCUGUGUCUCAAAAUAAAUAAGUAAACUUAAAAAAAAAUGGACAAUUUCUAUUUCCAAGUCUGUAGAUUCUUUCUUCUACCCCUUCAAAUCUACUGCUGAGUACCUACAGUAAGAAACUGUUUUAAAUUCAGACUUUACUUUUCCUUAAAAAAGGAGCUUAGGGUUCACAACAAAAUCAAGGAGAAGGUAUAGGGAUUUCCCAUAUACCCCCUGCCUCCAGACAUGCAUAUCUUCCUGCAUUAUAACAUCCCCAACCAGAGUAGUAUGUUCGUUACAACUGAUAAACCUACAUUAACGCAUCUUAAUUACCUGAAGUGCAUGGUUUAGAUUACAGUACCCUUUUGGUGUUGUACAUUCUUUGGGUUUGGACAAAUAUAUCAUAGCACGUGUCAUUAUUAUACAGAUUAUUUUCAUUGCCCUAAAAACACCCUUUUCUCUGGGGCACCUGGCUGACUCAGUAGAGCAUGUGACUUUUGAGAUUGUAAAUUUGAGCCCCACGUCAGAUGUACAGAUUACUUCAAAAAAAUAAAGUCUUAAAAAAAAAAAAAAACACCUCUCUGCUCUGCCUAUUUAUCCCUCCUUCUCCCCAGCCCCCAACAACCACUGAUCUUUAUAAUGUCUCCUAGUUUGCACCUUUUCCAGAAUGUCAUAUAGUUGGAAUUAUAUAGUCUGUAGCCUUUUCAUGUUGGCUUCUUUCACUUAGUAAUAUGCAUUCAAGGUUCCUCCAUGUCUUUUCAUGGCUUGAUUAUUCAU